Molecule: non-coding RNA, 47 nt
Organism: Sarcophilus harrisii (Tasmanian devil)
Lineage: Eukaryota; Metazoa; Chordata; Mammalia; Dasyuromorphia; Dasyuridae
Source: Rfam
UUCCAGGUUUUUCUAAAAACCAUCCCCUUUAUAAUUUUUAAUAGCAU